This 210-nucleotide unclassified non-coding RNA is filed under the name Hevea brasiliensis (rubber tree). The record is from RNAcentral. Lineage: Eukaryota; Viridiplantae; Streptophyta; Magnoliopsida; Malpighiales; Euphorbiaceae.
AAGGCCAACAUUGGAAGAUGUUGAAACUAAUUUAGAUGAAGAUUUUAUGGAAAUGGAUUUUAUUUUGGAGACGAUGAAAGUUUUAAGAACUUUGAUUGAAAUCUCUAGGUUAUGACAUGAAUUUGAAUGCUAAAACUUUCAGAUGUUUGAUGAUCUCUUAAGGGUUUAAAUUUUAUAGAUAGGAUUUAUUUUCUUUGCAUAUUAUAUUAU